UGCAAGCCGAGCGGUAUUGUUUCUCGGAAAUGAGAGAGCGGCGUACGGGUGCGGAACACGUGUGCAACCUGCCUUUAUCUGGGGGAUAGCCUUUCGAAAGGAAGAUUAAUACUCCAUAAUAUAUUGAAACGGCAUCGUUUAAUAUUGAAAGCUCCGGCGGAUAGAGAUGGGCACGCGCAAGAUUAGCUAGUUGGUGAGGUAACGGCUCACCAAGGCAAUGAUCUUUAGGGGGCCUGAGAGGGUGAUCCCCCACACUGGUACUGAGACACGGACCAGACUCCUACGGGAGGCAGCAGUGAGGAAUAUUGGUCAAUGGGUGCAAGCCUGAACCAGCCAUCCCGCGUGAAGGACGACUGCCCUAUGGGUUGUAAACUUCUUUUGUAUAGGGAUAAACCUUUCCACGUGUGGAAAGCUGAAGGUACUAUACGAAUAAGCACCGGCUAACUCCGUG
RNAcentral lists this ribosomal RNA (451 nucleotides) under uncultured bacterium. Its description in RNAcentral is "bacterial SSU rRNA". It matches the Rfam family "Bacterial small subunit ribosomal RNA", at positions 56 to 507 of the family's 1533-position model. The record is from RNAcentral.